UACGUAGGGUGCGAGCGUUAAUCGGAAUUACUGGGCGUAAAGCGUGCGCAGGCGGUGACGUAAGACAGAUGUGAAAUCCCCGGGCUCAACCUGGGACCUGCAUUUGUGACUGCAUCGCUAGAGUACGGUAGAGGGGGAUGGAAUUCCGCGUGUAGCAGUGAAAUGCGUAGAUAUGCGGAGGAACACCGAUGGCGAAGGCAAUCCCCUGGACCUGUACUGACGCUCAUGCACGAAAGCGUGGGGAGCAAACAGG
Molecule: ribosomal RNA, 253 nt
Filed under: uncultured bacterium
Lineage: Bacteria
Description: partial 16S ribosomal RNA
Rfam family: Bacterial small subunit ribosomal RNA
Source: RNAcentral